GUCCUUUUGUAGUCCAUAAGCAUGAUGAUUGGGUUUUCACGUGCGCAUGUGAGAUGGGGCUCCUUCACAUCUAAUCACAACAUAGGCACGUUACCCAUUUCAUA
Molecule: small nucleolar RNA, 104 nt
Organism: Otolemur garnettii (small-eared galago)
Lineage: Eukaryota; Metazoa; Chordata; Mammalia; Primates; Galagidae
Source: Ensembl